This 2058-nucleotide long non-coding RNA is filed under the name Malus domestica (apple). Its description in RNAcentral is "long non-coding RNA (MDOM_LNC012259)". Lineage: Eukaryota; Viridiplantae; Streptophyta; Magnoliopsida; Rosales; Rosaceae. The record is from RNAcentral.
CUAAUUGUGAGGGUGAGGGGUCCUUUUAUAGAAUAAUGACUCAUCACUUAUUACAUAUUUGCCCCUUCCUUUAUCACAUAAUUACAUUUAAGUCCCCUGAGUAUUUGUACAAGAUCUAAAUACGAGGCCCUAAAUAUGGUAUAAACAUGAGUCUUUGUGGACAUUCCGGAUCGAGGUGUGUCACUUUUAUAUCACAAAUACAACGCCACGUGAUUUCUUGUGUUAACAAAACAAGAAUAUAUGAAUAACAAUACACACAUAGUUUUUUUAUUGACACAAGAAACCAACAUGAUAUGGUAUUAUCAUUCUCCCCAUACGCAUAUAAAUUUCUCCUUUAUAUAAAAAAUCAUGGCCAAAAUUUGAAGCAACUAAACGAAAAACAAACAAAAAUUACAUCAACUUUUAAUCCAAUUGCCCCAAAAAGCAGUAGCUAUCACGAAAUAACAUAAGAAAAACAGAGGCAAUUUGGUGAUGGCGUCUUCUUAUUUGGUAAGGAGUAGUGGGGCCCACCAUCACCAAAGAAGUGGAGUUCUCUUGCUUUCAGUACGAUGCGCACCAGCUCACUCACUAAACGCCCUUUCCCCCUCUCUAAUCUCUCUCUUUAUUUUUGAACCAUAACCAAAUAGUAAGGAGAGGUUGUCCAAACUAUUACAAACUCAAAAUGUAAUGUAUCAAAUUCAAAUCUGCACAAAAUGGGGUUUUUGAACUUUAAUCUUUGAAGAAGAUUAAAUUUAAUAAAAAUUUGGUGUUAGAUUGGAUACUGAUUUUAGUCCUAUAAUGUGUACUUAAUUCAAAUUUAUAUUUUAAUAAUUAAUAGAUAUCUUAUUUAACCGCAGAAGCCGUCAGGAACUCCCCCAAAUGAUUGCACAUUAUCACCCCAAAACCCCCAUGUAGACCAACUCAACUCCAUGCAUUUCAAUUUUUCUUAGAAUGUAGAAAGAUGAGUAUUUGGGUUUCAAUUUUUUUCCGUCAACGUUCUACAACAGUUGUAAUGAAAGUAUGAUAUAUAAGACCCUUUCUAUGGAAAGUAUAAGUAUUAGUAAUUUGUUUGGCUUUGGCAUAUCAGAAAGCGAAAGCUGUUUUCAUGCUACCCUAUCCUCCUAAACGAAACCCUUCACUUCAACUUCAUAUUACAAAUUUGUCGUAGUUCUGAUUGACAUUUGUUUUCCUUCUAAUAAAUUGCUUGGGGUAGUGCAUGGUAGUGAGUGCAGGUUAGAUGAAUUUAUUUCAUCAAAUUAAAUUAAAUAAUUGCAGCAAAAAAACAAACACACACAAACACCGAAACACAAAUACCAUGGAAAAUGCUAUAAUGUUGUACGCAGCUCCAGUAGAAAUUUGAAACUUUAUCAAAAAUCAAAUAAGAUGCAACAAAAAAAUGCAGAGAAAAUUUUGAAAAACAAAAAGCUCUGUUUCUAAAGAGAUCAAGGUGGGAGGGGAGACAAAUGACCAAGAAGAUUUUUGAUUUUCGAGUUUCUUUGAGAUUUUAUUUUAUAAUGGGUGUAAAGAUAAAUAUACUUUUUGUCACAUCCCAGCCCGAGCUCCCACCAUAUUUCGAGCUCGACUCCACCGUAGCACGAUAUUGUCCGCUUUGUCCCCGACCAAGCCCUCACAGUUUUGUUUCUGGGAACUCACACGAGAACUUCCUAGUAGGUCACCCAUCAUGGGAUUGCUCUUGCGCGAACUCGCUUGACUUUGGAGUUCCGAUGGAACCCGAAGCCAAUGAGCUCUUAAAAGGCCUCGUGGUAGGUAGAGAUGGGAAUAUACAUAUAAGGCUUCCAGGAUUCAAUCCUCUAGGCGAUGUGGGAUGUUAAAAUCUACCCCCCUUAGGGGCCUGAAGUCCUCGUCGGCACACUUCCGGCCAGGGAUUGGCUCUGAUACCAAAUUGUCACAUCCCGACUAGAGCCCCCACCACAUCCCGGGUUUGACUCCACCGUAGCACGAUAUUGUCUGCUCUGGGAACUCAAACGAGAACUUCUCAGUAGGUCACCCAUCAUGGGAUUGCUCUUGCGCGAACUCGCUUAACUUUGGAGUUCCGAUGGAACCCGAAGCCAAUGAGCU